UUUUAGCCUUCUUACAAUAGCGUAAAUGUGCUCAUAGACCUAAAAUUUAAUCAAAUAAGGUACAGCCUAUUUGAAUUAGGGUACAACCUGCAACAGGGGGUAAUGUUUUAAGCUACGUGACCAAGUAGGCCUAAAAGCAGCCACCUUUAAAAAAGCGUUACAGCCUUAUCACACCACACCAUUAAUUCCAGCCUCAGCCCAAAACCCCUUAUUAAUACUGAAUGACUCCAUACUUAUAUGGAAGACCUUAUGUUAAAACUAGUAACAAGAAUAACUAUUCUCCCACAAAUGUAAGUGUAAGCCGAAAUGGACCACCCAUCGACACUUACCGCUAAUGAACACACAGUAGUAACACACCAAGAAAACCCUACUCCCACCAGCGUUAACCUUACACAAGAACUUUUCUGGAAAGAUUAAAAAAUGGGGAAG
RNAcentral lists this ribosomal RNA (429 nucleotides) under Mantophryne cf. lateralis LAO-2013. RNAcentral describes it as "partial 16S ribosomal RNA". The record is from RNAcentral. Lineage: Eukaryota; Metazoa; Chordata; Amphibia; Anura; Microhylidae.